RNAcentral lists this transfer RNA (83 nucleotides) under Gasteruption parvicollarium. Its description in RNAcentral is "tRNA-Lys". The record is from RNAcentral. Lineage: Eukaryota; Metazoa; Arthropoda; Insecta; Hymenoptera; Gasteruptiidae.
UAUUAGAUGACUGAAAAUGUUAAGUAUUGAUCUUUUAAAUCAAUUAUAGUAAAUAAAAUUUUUAUAACUUUUACUUCUAAUAA